UGUUCGCUCGUCACGCCGAAGACCCAGGUUCGAUUCCCAACAUGGGUACAAUCUGUAAAUCCCAUUUCUGGUGUCCCCCGCCGUGAUAUUGCU
Haliotis rubra (blacklip abalone) is the source of this 93-nucleotide long non-coding RNA. RefSeq lists it as uncharacterized. The transcript has 3 exons. NCBI's taxonomy places the organism in Eukaryota, Metazoa, Mollusca, Gastropoda, Lepetellida, Haliotidae. The record is from RefSeq and is a predicted model, not a curated record.